This 24-nucleotide microRNA is filed under the name Gallus gallus (chicken). Its description in RNAcentral is "Gga-Mir-146-P1_5p (mature (guide))". RNAcentral also lists the same sequence under 1 other name. The record is from RNAcentral. Lineage: Eukaryota; Metazoa; Chordata; Aves; Galliformes; Phasianidae.
UGAGAACUGAAUUCCAUAGGCGUU